UGGGGAAUAUUGGACAAUGGGCGAAAGCCUGAUCCAGCCAUGCCGCGUGUGUGAAGAAGGCCCUCGGGUUGUAAGGCACUUUCAGUGGGGAAGAAAGCCUCGGGAUUAAUACUUCCGAGGAAGGACAUCACCCACAGAAGAAGCACCGGCUAACUCCGUGCCAGCAGCCGCGGUAAUACGGAGGGUGCGAGCGUUAAUCGGAAUUACUGGGCGUAAAGCGCGCGUAGGCGGUCUGAUCAGCCGGUUGUGAAAGCCCCGGGCUCAACCUGGGAACGGCAUCCGGAACUGUCAGGCUAGAGUGCAGGAGAGGGAGGUAGAAUUCCCGGUGUAGCGGUGAAAUGCGUAGAGAUCGGGAGGAAUACCAGUGGCGAAGGCGGCCUUCUGGACUGACACUGACGCUGAGGUGCGAAAGCGUGGGGAGCAAACA
RNAcentral lists this ribosomal RNA (427 nucleotides) under uncultured Halomonas sp. RNAcentral describes it as "bacterial SSU rRNA". It matches the Rfam family "Bacterial small subunit ribosomal RNA", at positions 355 to 774 of the family's 1533-position model. Lineage: Bacteria; Pseudomonadati; Pseudomonadota; Gammaproteobacteria; Oceanospirillales; Halomonadaceae. The record is from RNAcentral.